This 253-nucleotide ribosomal RNA is filed under the name uncultured bacterium. RNAcentral describes it as "partial 16S ribosomal RNA". It matches the Rfam family "Bacterial small subunit ribosomal RNA", at positions 524 to 776 of the family's 1533-position model. The record is from RNAcentral.
UACGUAGGUGGCAAGCGUUGUCCGGAUUUAUUGGGCGUAAAGGGCGCGUAGGCGGCUUUGCGUGUCUUUCGUGAAAUCCCUCGGCUCAACUGAGGACGUGCGGAAGAAACUGCAGGGCUGGAGUCCGGGAGAGGAGGGUGGAAUUCCCAGUGUAGCGGUGAAAUGCGUAGAUAUUGGGAGGAACACCGGUGGCGAAGGCGGCCCUCUGGACCGGUACUGACGCUGAUGCGCGAAAGCGUGGGGAGCAAACGGG